Molecule: ribosomal RNA, 528 nt
Filed under: Fermentozyma sake
Lineage: Eukaryota; Fungi; Ascomycota; Pichiomycetes; Serinales; Debaryomycetaceae
Description: eukaryotic LSU rRNA
Rfam family: Eukaryotic large subunit ribosomal RNA
Source: RNAcentral
AAGCUCAAAUUUGAAAUCUGCGUAAGCCGAGUUGUAAUUUGAAGAUGGCUACUUUGGUAAUGGCUCUUGUCUAUGUUCCUUGGAACAGGACGUCACAGAGGGUGAGAAUCCCGUGCGAUGAGAUGUCCAUUACCGUGUAAAGUGCUUUCGAAGAGUCGAGUUGUUUGGGAAUGCAGCUCUAAGUGGGUGGUAAAUUCCAUCUAAAGCUAAAUAUUGGCGAGAGACCGAUAGCGAACAAGUACAGUGAUGGAAAGAUGAAAAGAACUUUGAAAAGAGAGUGAAAAAGUACGUGAAAUUGUUGAAAGGGAAGGGCUUGAGAUCAGACUUGGUAUUUUGUAUGGCUUGCUUUCGGGCGGGUCCUCUGCAGUUUACUGGGCCAGCAUCGGUUUGGGUGGCAGGAUAAUAGCAUUGGAAUGUGGCUCUACUUCGGUGGAGUGUUAUAGCCUUUGUUGAUACUGCCUGCCUAGACCGAGGACUGCGUCUUUUGACUAGGAUGCUGGCAUAAUGAUCCUAAGCCGCCCGUCUUGA